UUCCGGUUGAUCCUGCCGGAGGCGACCGCUUUGGGAGUUCGAUUAAGCCAUGCGAGUCGUGAGUCUUAGGGACUCGGCAUACUGCUCAGUAACACGUGGAUAACCUGCCCUAUCGUCUGGAAUAACCUCGGGAAACUGAGAAUAAGGCCGGAUAGUUCACAAUGCCUGGAACGGUUUGUGAAUCAAGGUAGGAUGGGUCUGCGGCGUAUCAGGUUGUAGGGGGUGUAAAGGACCCCCUAGCCUUCGACGCGUACGGGUGUUGGGAGACAUAGCCCGGAGAUGGAUUCUGAGACACGAAUCCAGACCCUACGGGGUGCAGCAGGCGCGAAAACUUCACACUGCAGGAAACUGUGAUGAGGGAACUCCUAGUGCAUGCACUAUGUGUAUGUAGAUCCUACUCUUAACAAGUAGAGGGAAAGGGCUGGGAAAGACCGGUGCCAGCCGCCGCGGUAAUACCGGCAGCUCAAGUGGUCGUCGCUUUUAUUGGGCCUAAAACGUCCGUAGCCUGUUUGGUAAAUCUGUGGGUAAAUCAAUCCGCUCAACGGAUUGAAUUCUGCASAGACUGCCAGACUAGGGACCGGGAGAGGUGUGGGGUACUCGAGGGGUAGGGGUAAAAUCCUGUCAUCCUUCGAGGACCACCAGUUGCGAAGGCGCCACACUGGAACGGAUCCGACGGUCAGGGACGAAGCCUAGGGGCACGAACCGGAUUAGAUACCCGGGUAGUCCUAGGUGUAAACGCUGUGGACUUGGUGUCGGGGGUCCGCAAGGGGUCCCCGGUGCCGGAGUGAAGAUGUUAAGUUCACUGCCUGGGGAGUACGGUCGCAAGGCUGAAACUUAAAGGAAUUGGCGGGGCAGCAC
RNAcentral lists this ribosomal RNA (858 nucleotides) under uncultured euryarchaeote. RNAcentral describes it as "bacterial SSU rRNA". It matches the Rfam family "Archaeal small subunit ribosomal RNA", at positions 1 to 879 of the family's 1478-position model. The record is from RNAcentral. Lineage: Archaea; Methanobacteriati; Methanobacteriota.